CAUAGCGACUAUCGUGGCAUAUCAAUAAGCGGAGGAAAAGAAACUAACAAGGAUUCCCUUAGUAACGGCGAGUGAAGCGGGAAGAGCUCAAAUUUGAAAUCUUCAAGGUUUUACCUUGACGAAUUGUAGUUUAUAGAAGUGUUUUCUGUUAGUAGAGUUUGGUAAAAGUUCUUUGGAAUAGGACAUCAUAGAGGGUGAGAAUCCCGUAUUUGACCAGUUACUUUCCAAGCUGUGUGAUACACUUUCAAAGAGUCGGAUUGUUUGGGAAUGCAGUCCAAGAUGGGUGGUAAAUUUCAUCUAAAGCUAAAUAUUGGCGAGAGACCGAUAGCGAACAAGUACCGUGAGGGAAAGAUGAAAAGAACUUUGAAAAGAGAGUUAAACAGUACGUGAAAUUGUCAAAAGGGAAGCGUUUGACACCAGUGUUGUUUAGUUGAAAAUCAAUUCAAUAAUUUUUGAUUUUGAGUAGUAUUGACUUCAUCAGCUUGCUGCUUUCUUUUCGGAAAUUAUUGAAUGCACUUUUCAGUUAACAAGUCAACAUCAAUUUCUUUUGUUGUAAAAGGGUAAGAGGAAGGUGGCUUACGCUUCGGCGUAAGUGUUUAUAGCCUUUUACCUCUGCAAUCGGAGAGAUUGAGGACAGCAGCGUAGACUCUUCGGGGUUAGAUACACUUGUGCUAAGCUAUAGCCUUGUAUAGACAACUUGUUGACUAUGCUCAGUCAUGUAGCUUACUCGCUUGUGCUAUUUUACCUACGCUUAGGAUGUUGAUAUGCAUGACUGAUAU
Molecule: ribosomal RNA, 779 nt
Filed under: uncultured Neocallimastigales
Lineage: Eukaryota; Fungi; Neocallimastigomycota; Neocallimastigomycetes; Neocallimastigales
Description: partial large subunit ribosomal RNA
Rfam family: Eukaryotic large subunit ribosomal RNA
Source: RNAcentral